UUUGAAGAGAGAGUUCAAGAGUACGUGAAACCGCUCAGGGGUAAACGGAAAAGACCUGAAUAUCCGAAAGGGGAGAUUCACGUCUUACCAGUUGCUCAACUUUUAAAUGAUUUGAGAUGGCCUCUCGCCCUAUUCAGUGUAACAGCUGUGGUAGUGGGUUUGGUCGCUCGCAUUUAAAUUGGAAGGGUAAUGGUGGACCGCACUUCUCCCUUAGUAGGACGUUGCGACCUGUCAAAUAAUAUCCUAAGUAUUUGGCUAAUUUGUCUGUUUUUAGGCAGUACUGAAAGGUAUUUCCUUUAACAGUUUUAGCCGUUUACAUACUGGAUAUAAUUGACAGUAACAAAUCAUGGUGUUGAGCCACUUACUUUGUAAGUGUCCUUUAUGGCUGUUUGCAAGUGGGUUGGUUAAUUAGUUUUAGUCGGAUUUUGGUCCGUCUAACUAUUCCGCCUACUGUUGGUAAACUGUUCCUUGGACAGUGCUUAUAACACCGGUCGGCAGCGAUUCAGGUUCAGGCUCUUAUCCGACCCGUCUUGAAACACGGACCAAGGAGUUUAGCGUGUACG
Molecule: ribosomal RNA, 563 nt
Filed under: Triatoma guasayana
Lineage: Eukaryota; Metazoa; Arthropoda; Insecta; Hemiptera; Reduviidae
Description: eukaryotic LSU rRNA
Rfam family: Eukaryotic large subunit ribosomal RNA
Source: RNAcentral